UUGUGGUUCGAGCUAUAUAACAAGAUAGCUUGUCCGUCUGUCAUUUUGUAACUUAUUUUUGUGCUAAAAUAGUAUAAAGCAUGUUGCAGUUGCGGUGUGGUAAAAGAAUUGAGCUUCUAUGCUUUUAAAAGUACCAAGUCAUUGGUGCUUGUAAGUUUUCGGCCCUUGGAUUAAAGAAUGUACGGUUAGGAUGAUGUGGGCCCCCUAGGGUUGAGUGGGUGGUUGGUUGAAUAGUAUAAUUUAACGGAUAAAAAUGAUCAAAGGCAGGGAUCUAACGAUAAAAAAUUUACAAGCACCAAAUAUUUCAUAUUUUUAUAAGCACCAUAGCCGACUCGUGGUAAAACAUUAAUAGGAGUGAUAUACAAAAUUUGAAAUAUUGGUUCAUACGUAUCACACCAAAUAAUUUAUAGAUGCUUUUGCGGGGAAUCCAAAGCAUUUUGAUGUGAAUAGAGAACAUGAAAGAGGCCUUGAAUAAGUAUAAGUUGAUUAACAUUAAUUCCAAAGAAAAGCUCAAAGAAAUAAUCCUAGGGUGUGUUUGGUUCGCACUAUCUUUUAAAUAUUUCUAGUAAUCUAAUAGGAAUAAAAAAAAUAUGACAGUAUUUGGCUAAACGCACUAAGUAAUCUAGUUGGUAAUAUUGAAUUUACUUGGGAAUAAGAUUCAUUCCAAAGUACUAAUCUCAUUCCCUUGAGGAAGGGUGGGUAUCCUAUAAUAUGGAUUGCAGUAAUCAUAAUAUGUCUAAUAUCUUUCUUUCUCCCUACCCGUCAGCUAAUUGGUAUUAUUUUUCUUUACACUAUAACCUCAUAUCUUUCUCUAAACUUAUCUUUCUCUCUCAAAUUUAACACUUUUUCUCUCUCUAAACUAAGCUUUUUUUUUCCCUCUUUUUCUAAAAUCUCAACUCUCUCACUCCCUCUAAUUUCGACUAUAUUUUUCUUACUAUUUUUUUAAUUAUGCUCUCUCUUUCUAACCUAUGAUCUCUCUCUUUUUUCUAAAAAAAUAUUAAAAUUUUUGGUAGAUUAUCUAAAAUUAAUUUAAAAAAUAAAUAAAUUAAUUGUAUAUUUUUUGUAAUCUUAAAUAAUAUGGCUAAAUAAUAUGACCGUGCGAACCAAACACAGAAAUUUCACAUUCUUAGUAAUAAAAUAAAUAGAAAUAAAAUUCUCGGACAUCUUUUCAUUCCUAAUAAUCUUUCAUAAUGCGAACCAAACGCACCCUUAUUAUAAUCUUGUUUGUCUCAGCUU
This 1236-nucleotide long non-coding RNA is filed under the name Ananas comosus (pineapple). Its description in RNAcentral is "long non-coding RNA (ACOM_LNC025270)". The record is from RNAcentral. Lineage: Eukaryota; Viridiplantae; Streptophyta; Magnoliopsida; Poales; Bromeliaceae.